ACUGCUGUUAAUGUAGGUGCA
RNAcentral lists this microRNA (21 nucleotides) under Petromyzon marinus (sea lamprey). RNAcentral's name for it is "pma-miR-4625". The record is from miRBase by way of RNAcentral. Lineage: Eukaryota; Metazoa; Chordata; Hyperoartia; Petromyzontiformes; Petromyzontidae.